Non-coding RNA from Vicia faba (fava bean), 258 nucleotides. Lineage: Eukaryota; Viridiplantae; Streptophyta; Magnoliopsida; Fabales; Fabaceae. The record is from the annotation of a GenBank genome assembly.
AUGAUUCGUCUUCACUCCAUCACUGCUCGCUUCGACAAAAUCAACAGUCCACCAUUGACAACAUCAACUCGAUAUGCAUCGUCGCUUAUCUUCCGCGUCGAUUCUUCGUGCUACAUUUCAUCUUCUUCUAACACCGCCUUUGAUUCAAAUCUUUUGAUACAUCAUUGUCUCCAAUCGCGGACCUCGCUUCAAUCACAGUUUCACGAUCUUUGUUCACUUCCUCGCAGUGAUAUUCGCGAUUAUGUUUCAGAUUCGUAA